Molecule: ribosomal RNA, 377 nt
Filed under: uncultured bacterium
Lineage: Bacteria
Description: partial 16S ribosomal RNA
Rfam family: Bacterial small subunit ribosomal RNA
Source: RNAcentral
CCUACGGGUGGCAGCAGUAGGGAAUAUUGCUCAAUGGGGGAAACCCUGAAGCAGCAACGCCGCGUGGAGGAUGAAGGUUUUCGGAUUGUAAACCCCUUUUGUUAGAGAAGAAAAUGACGGUAUCUAACGAAUAAGCACCGGACAACUCCGUGCCAGCAGCCGCGGUAAUACGGAGGGUGCAAGCGUUACGCGGAAUCACUGGGCGUAAAGAGCGCGUAGGCGGGUUUGCAAGUAAGCUGUGAAAUCCUAUGGCUUAACCGUAGAACUGCAUUUGAAACUGUUAUUCUUGAGUACGGGAGAGGUAGGUGGAAUUCGUGGUGUAGUGGUGAAAUGCGUAGAGAUCAAGAAGAAUACUCAUUGCGAAGGCGGCCUGCUAG